AUGCUUGGUCUCUCAUCUGCAGCAUCACAACACAGAGAGGUUUUUGUACCAGCAGUAAUAGGGAUUGUAUCACUGUGGUGGACUUUUGGUAGCAGCACCAGACUUGAUGUUGGAAGUAACAGUGCCCCCACUCUCACUGUCCUGCCCCCCUCUAGAGAGGAACUGUCCAGUACAACAACAGCCACACUGACGUGUCUGGCCAACAAGGGCUUCCCCUCAGACUGGACCAUAAGAUGGAAAGUGGACCGGACCAGCAACAACCAGAAGACCAGUCCCGGGGUCCUGGAGAAGGAUGGCAUGUACAGCUGGAGCAGCACCCUGACUCUCACUGGCCAGGAGUGGACCAAGGCAGGAGAGGUGACCUGUGAAGCCCAGCAGAAAUCCCAGACUCCAGUCACCAAGACCCUGAGGAGGACUGACUGUUCUGGGUAGGACCCCUCAGUCACACACCCCUGAAGAGAGAGGCUGCUGGUUCCUCUGCUUUGACUCUGUUCUGAGAUCAGAUGUUCUCUGUCUUAUUGAUCACUGACAUGUAAACAGACAGGGGGCUUUGCUUGAGUUCAUGUGUCAAUCUUCUCUGUAGACUGAGGUUGUAUCAGUGCUAAAUUUGAUGAGUUCUGUUUUAUUUCUAUCAGAUACUGUAGGAAUGUUUGCUUUGAAGAUUUUAUGAAAAUAACGUUUUCCCUUUGGAACAAAUAUUUUAGUUGUCUCUUUCAAUAAUUAAACUUUAGUUGUACAUGUUGAAUGGUAUAGACGUAUAUUAAUAAAGCCUUAUUCACAGUUUAUUUUUAAACUAUCA
Non-coding RNA from Oncorhynchus gorbuscha (pink salmon), 799 nucleotides. The record is from the annotation of a RefSeq genome assembly. NCBI's taxonomy places the organism in Eukaryota, Metazoa, Chordata, Actinopteri, Salmoniformes, Salmonidae.